GGGUUUUUUAUUUUAUACUUCAAAUCUUGAAUUUAUUUUUUAUGUUUUUGAAUGUUUGAUUUAAAAAAAUAUAAAAAAUACAAUAGAUAUUGACAUGGAUUAAACAAAGAUAUAUAUUAUUCUAUGUUGCAUAAACAAAUUGGCAAAGUAG
RNAcentral lists this unclassified non-coding RNA (151 nucleotides) under [Borrelia] lusitaniae. RNAcentral's name for it is "Borreliella lusitaniae partial 5S-23S ribosomal RNA intergenic spacer". Lineage: Bacteria; Pseudomonadati; Spirochaetota; Spirochaetia; Spirochaetales; Borreliaceae. The record is from RNAcentral.